UCCACGCGAAAGUGCCUCCCGAUUGAGUCCCGGCCCUGGCUUUAGGCCCCAAGAAGAACGGCGAGAGAACAGAUCCGCAGAAACAACGUUGCGCUGCCGCUCCUGCCGUGCGCUCCCCACCCCCGAUCCGCCCCGAGCCGACCCUGCCUCCGAUCGCCGCCGCCGAGCUCCUCUGCCGGACACCAUGGCUCCGUCGGACCUUCCCUCGCGAGUGACGGCCCUCUUCCCGACCAGAUCGGCGACGGCGACGACCGGUGAUGAACACAUGCCUGCCCCAUUCUUAAUUCUCCCGGGCAGUCUGUGAUGCAGAUGCCGCCGCCAUUCUUCCGCACAGCUGAGUACGCGGAAGUCGCUGUUGCCUGCAACUCGGCCGCCUCCAUUGUGUUCCCCUGCGAAGUUGAGGAGGGUUCGUUGUCCGGGCAUCGCAUCCUCCUGCUUGUCCUCUACCCCAGGGUCGUCGCCAUCUUCCGUCACCACGACCACCUCUGCCAUGUCCUCUACCACGGGUCAGCAAGAGCAUACCACCGCAUGUCCUCUUCACAUGAUAGGUACAGACUUGGCUAAGCGAUUUUAUGUCAAACUGCACAUAAAUAUGAUUAAGUCCUUGUUGUGUUUUUACUGGUAGGGAGAGCAUGAGAAAGGUGUUGUGGAUACAUAUAUGAAUGCCCGCCAGAAGAAGAGAAAGGUGUUUGGCUGCAAAUCAGUUUUAUGUCAAACUGCACAUAAAUAUGAUCAAGUACUUGUUGUCUUUUUGCUGGUAGGGAGAGCAGGAGAAAGGUGUUGUGGAUACAUAUAUGAAUGCCUGCCAGAAGAAGAGAAAGGUGUUUGGCUGCAAGUUAUUGUGUUCGUAGGCUGUCCAUAUCACCGGGACUAAGGGAAAAUGUUCAACUGCCGCGUUCCUGUCUAAUAUCAUGAGGGAGCAAGCAUAAACUGUCGGCUGCUAUUCCAGUCCACACCUUUUAACAAUCCGAGAGCGCAUCACCGGUUUCAGCUGCAUCUUUGAGGGAUCUUUUUGAUCUGGCCAAGGAAGCUAUUGAUGAAUCAAUCGAAUCAGAAAAUAGAUCCCUGUCACACUUUGAGACUUGGGAUCGUAGGGAAAAGUGUGGACUAUGGAGUCAUACCAGAACUGGAUUGACCAUGGCACAUCUUCACAAGCGAGUCAUGGCGUCGUCAACAAUAUUCAAGAUUUCAUGUUCCCUUCAUUUCCAAGCAUCGCUCUUAAAGCAAUAUAUGCAGGUUCAUCAUUCAUGCGAGGGAUAUGAAUGAUGA
Molecule: long non-coding RNA, 1269 nt
Organism: Triticum dicoccoides
Lineage: Eukaryota; Viridiplantae; Streptophyta; Magnoliopsida; Poales; Poaceae
Exons: 4
Source: RefSeq, a predicted model, not a curated record